UUUCCUUCUGGUGUAAAUAAAAGGUAGUCCCUGCCCAGUGCAGCUAGAGUAAUGUCUGCUGUGAACGGCGGCGUUAAAGUGAGCGUCCUAAGGUAGCGCGAUAAUUUGCCUUUCAAUUAAAGGAUGGUAUGAAAGGGUUAACGAGGAAGGUGCUGUGUCUAAAAACUUAGUUUAAACUAACUCAAAGGUGAAGAGGCCUUUAUGAAGAAGAAGGACGACAAGACCCUAUGAAGCUUAAUCUUAGUAGGGGUCUGAAAGACUUUGUACGAUUUUGAUGGGAGAUCAGUAAAAAUAAGUCUUUUACUAUUAUUUUAGUCAUACUAGUGUUUCCUAAUUUUAUAUGUGUGACUAGCUACUCUAGGGAUAACAGCGCAAUUCCUCCCGAAAGAUGGUAUUGGAGGGGAAGAUUGCGACCUCGAUGUUGGCUUUAGAUGUCCAAGAGGCGUAGAAGCUUCUAAUGGUGGGUCUGUUCGCCCUUUAAAAUCUA
RNAcentral lists this ribosomal RNA (487 nucleotides) under Mytilus californianus (California mussel). RNAcentral describes it as "partial 16S ribosomal RNA". It matches the Rfam family "Bacterial large subunit ribosomal RNA", at positions 1828 to 2597 of the family's 2925-position model. Lineage: Eukaryota; Metazoa; Mollusca; Bivalvia; Mytilida; Mytilidae. The record is from RNAcentral.